Molecule: ribosomal RNA, 229 nt
Filed under: uncultured bacterium
Lineage: Bacteria
Description: partial 16S ribosomal RNA
Rfam family: Bacterial small subunit ribosomal RNA
Source: RNAcentral
UGCGUAGGCGGGCUAUUAAGUCAGUGGUGAAAUCCCUCGGCUCAACCGGGAAACUGCCAUUGAUACUGUUAGUCUUGAGUUCGGUUGAGGUAGGCGGAAUGUGUAAUGUAGCGGUGAAAUGCUUAGAUAUUACACAGAACACCAAUUGCGUAGGCAGCUUACUAGACCGACACUGACGCUGAGGCACGAAAGCGUGGGGAGCGAACAGGAUUAGAUACCCUGGUAGUCC